UUGUACAAAUUGAAUUAUCACAUGAUGAGUUGGCAUUAGCUUCUCCAGGCAUGGGAACUUAACAGAUGAGGUUAAGAACCGUAGACAGUUUAAAAUCCAUUUAUGUUGCUUUCACAGCUGGAGUUUUUUUGGACCUUAACUUGAAAUAUAAGACAAUCAAUGCAAUGCUUCCAUAUGUGGCCAGUACACAGUUCAUUCUACCUGUGAGAGUAUAAGAGUUGAAAUAUUUUUUAAUACCAGUGAACUGGUAUUGCGCAUCACUUUCUGGACCUGCCAUGAUUUCAAUCUGCCAAAGCCGCAAAUUCCGCAGCUGGUGUCCUUCAACGAAUGUAACCACCUCUCG
RNAcentral lists this unclassified non-coding RNA (343 nucleotides) under Hevea brasiliensis (rubber tree). Lineage: Eukaryota; Viridiplantae; Streptophyta; Magnoliopsida; Malpighiales; Euphorbiaceae. The record is from RNAcentral.